GGGGUAAUUAAGGAAUCAGAGAGAUCGAGGGGUUAAGGAGGAAUUAUUUAAUUAUUUAGGUGCACCGACCCAGUCGGAUUAACAUCAAAAGGACUGAGCCUCGAACAGAGAGUCAAGCUACCUUUUAAGCAUUUUUUGGGGCAGGGGGAGAUCUAUGCAGGGGGAAGCAUGUUACAGAAGCGAGAAACAAAGACAGUUAUUCAAUUAAGACAUGCAUUACAUUAUUUCUUACUUUUCAAGGAACAACAUGUUUUACGACUUGACAUUAUCUGUCUAGUGACCUUGCAGCUGCACAGCUAGAGAAACAGAGUCUUCACAAUGCCUGGGAAAGGGAGAGAUAAGGUCCACUAGCCACAGAAAAACAGGCAGUUAAUUUUAAAGGACUCCAGCUCUUUCUCUUCUUCAGGGGGAAUUGAGUUUUCUUACAUACAACUGAGUUUUUGCUUACACAUUCUUUAAUUUCUUUUAAUUCCUAUUUCAGUCUGACUGAAAUUAGAGGAGCUACCUGGCUGCAUACAUUACUGAUUCCCCGCCAACGUGUUUCUAUGUUCUUUGAAAGACAAUGUAAUUGUGCCUUACUUGAAGUAAAUUGAUGUGAUCUCCACAGUCAUCCCAUAAAAUAUUCACUAUCAUUAUCACUAUCAUUAUAAUCUGGCUCAAAGGCCAGAUUAAGAUGGUCAAAUAAAUUAGUUUGUUAAACCAAUUUAAAACACACAGUCUUAGCUUUGUACAGUGGAAAUAUGGUAGCCAAUGAGGUUUAUCCUAGGUUAUUGCUAAUUGAAAACUUUUUCCAAUACCCUGCCAUGACAACUUGCAAGAUAGUCAGCACUGGCAAUUUUUGACAGUCACUAUGGAGACUGAAUUGUUUUAGAAAAAAGUGGGAAGCAAGGGGAAAGAGAUUCAGUAGGUGAACACAUUUAGAUCAUGCAGGUGAAAGGACCACACUACUGUGGGUCACUCAAUGUUCACAUGUUCUGCCUCUCUCUCUGCCUCAUCUGCCUUCUCCAAAGAUGGCAUGGUUACAAGAACCAGAGUGUAGGUAAGAAUGUUCAGAGAUGGAAAGUUCAUGGUGCCAGUCUAUGUUUGCUCUAUCAAAAAGACUGAGGUUGCUGAGUGCUGUGGCUCACACCUGUAAUUCCAACACUUUGGAAGAUUGAAGCACGCAGAGUACUUGAGUCCAGGAGUUCAAGAACAGCCUGGGCAACAUGGCGAGACCACGUCUCUACAAAAAAUUUAAAAAAAAAUUAGCUGGGCAUGAUGGUGCGUGCUUGUAGUCCCAACUACCCGGGAGGAUGAGGUGGGAGGAUCACCUGAGACCUGAAGGUUGAGGCUGCAGUGAGCAGGCAAUGAGUCAUGAUUGUGCCACUGCACUCCAGCCUGGACGACAGAGCAAGAUCCUGUCCCCAAACAAUAAAAAUAAUAAAAAGAUAGAGGUAAGUAUGAGCUACACCUAUAGCUCAGCAAUGACCUGAUGAGCAGCAGUAUACAUUUUAAGCACAAAACAAGUGGGUUAGAAUGGAUGAUACCAAUGGGUGGUCAAUUUGAGGCAACAAGACUGAUCCAUGCUUUAUGAAUAUUUAAGGUUUAUUUUGCUUUCCAUCUCUGUUUACAAGUAACACUCUUGUUUGUUUUGUCCUUUUAACGUAUGUCUAAGAAGUAAAUAUCUAUUCUAUGUUUAACAUGUUUCAUGGGUUAAUGAUUUACUUAUUAUCUGUACUUAACAUAUGAACUGAUGUAACAUAUACUUACAGAUAAGUUUCAUCUAUCCCAUUUGUUUUUCCUAUUCUUUAGGGCAGAAUUGAAAAUUCUUAAAUAAUACAGCAAAUGCAUGUUACAUUAUGGAUAAAAAAUCUGAGGCACAGGCCAGUAAGUCCCUUCCACAAAGUCCCCACAACUUUGCCAAGGGCAUGAAAAAGUCAGGUUUCAAAUACAAAACAUCUGGCCCCAGAGCCCAAUUUUUUUUUUUUUUUUUUUUUAGUGACAGGGUCUUGCUCUGCUGCCAGGCUGGAGUGCAAUGGCAUGCUCAUGGCUCACUGCAGCCUUGACUUCCUGGGCUCAAGGCUCAAGUGGUCCUCCUUGCCUUUGGCCUCCCAAAGUGCUGAGAUUAUAGGCCUGAGCCACCAUGCCCGGCCUCAGACCCCACUUCUUAAUCAUCAUCCUAAACUGAUUCCUAAUUUGCCUGAGAAAACACGGCUGCUAAAUCUAACCUUAAGUCCAGUGCUCUUCGUGCUAAUUACUCUUUGUGUAUAAGUACUCUCCGGCCAGGAGAUCUGUCUUGUUGAUCUCUGCAUUCUUACCACCAAGCACAGAGCCCGGGCAAAUACUUGUUGACCAAGAAAAUAUCUCAUUUUAUGCCUUUUGUUUUUCUUUUGGGUUAAAUGUGCAGAAUAAUUCCAAUUUAACAUUUAAGAAAAUUUAAACUUUGGCAUUUAAAGUUAAAUUACCUUAGGUAUUUGAUUUAAGACUGAUUAACCUAAAGAAAUAUCUAGUUGCUACAGAGUAAAAGAUAAGGAUCUAUGAACUGAGAUCUAGCAUCGAUUGUGAAACUAACCCUUUUAAAGGGCUUGUUUCUCUGUGCUUCACUUUCUCUAGGAGGAAAAUGGUCCUAGUAACUCUUAUCUAUUCCCUUCACCAGGAAUUGUUACAUUGUCUAUUCUUCCUAUUACUAGCAUAUCUUUAAAAAAAUGGUUUCUGCUUUAUCAGUUAGAUAUUAUUAAAAAAUGUAAGUCUGUCUAUAAAUUCAUAAAAUCAAUGAACCAUAAACAUAUUUACAUGAUAUUAAAAAUAACAUAUUUUUAUAUCCUUUUAAAGACACAUUUUAUGCUACAUUUGGACAUGUUUAACAUCCUGUAAUUUACUAAAUAUCCUACAAUUUUCCUCAUUCAUUUGACUUUUGUGAGAGGAAAAAAACAGCCUUCUGAAAGAAGUUAACACACAUUAUAUGCUACUAAAAUAUUUUAAUGCCUCAUUUGUUCCACAUUUAUUUAUAUGUUUAUUGGCAUGUUUAUUUCCCCACUUAUGUAAAUAGUGUUUCUCUGUAGGAAGUUGGCAAUAAUCUCAAUAGAUACAUGACUAGAACUCAAUGUAGUGGGUGAUUAAUCCUGGCUACCCAUCAGAAUCACCUGAGACACUUAAAAAAACAAAACCGAUGCCCCAGUCCUACCUCAAACAAUUUAAGUCAAUAUUUCUAGGGCUGGAAUUGGGACAUCUCUAUUUUUAAGAACUUCUCAGAUAUUCUACAAAAUACUUGACCAGCACUUUUCAACACUGUCAAGGUCAUCAUAAACAAGGAAUGUCUAAAAAACUGCCACAGUGUCAGAGGAGGUGAAGGAGACAUGAUAACCGAAUGUUAUGUGGUACCCUAAGUGAGAUCCUGGAAUAGAGAAAUAACAUUAAGGGAAAACUACUGAAAUCCAAAU
Molecule: long non-coding RNA, 3419 nt
Filed under: Homo sapiens (human)
Lineage: Eukaryota; Metazoa; Chordata; Mammalia; Primates; Hominidae
Description: HSALNT0214485
Rfam family: U4 spliceosomal RNA (bases 722-857)
Source: RNAcentral